Xenia sp. Carnegie-2017 is the source of this 137-nucleotide long non-coding RNA. RefSeq lists it as uncharacterized. The transcript is spliced from 3 exons. NCBI's taxonomy places the organism in Eukaryota, Metazoa, Cnidaria, Anthozoa, Malacalcyonacea, Xeniidae. The record is from RefSeq and is a predicted model, not a curated record.
AAAAAGCCAGCAACUACAAUCAGGAAAGAAUGCAGUGAAGAGAGUGAAAGAGUGAACUGUUUUGAUGGCAUUGUAAUAUACAAGAGUGAUGUCGAAACAUUAAAUGGAAGCAAGUGGUUGUGUGAUACCAUAAUUGA